GAGACACCCCACUGGGGCAAGACUUGCUUCAAUGGGGCUUUGGUGCUCACUGAGUCUGCCCCCUGAGUGUGUCCCU
Myotis lucifugus (little brown bat) is the source of this 76-nucleotide non-coding RNA. NCBI's taxonomy places the organism in Eukaryota, Metazoa, Chordata, Mammalia, Chiroptera, Vespertilionidae. The record is from Rfam.